This is a long non-coding RNA of Alnus glutinosa, 573 nucleotides long. RefSeq lists it as uncharacterized. The record is from RefSeq and is a predicted model, not a curated record. Lineage: Eukaryota; Viridiplantae; Streptophyta; Magnoliopsida; Fagales; Betulaceae. The transcript has 3 exons.
CACACACCUACAACCAAGAGAGAAAAUUGUGAGAUUUGUGUAGUUUUGUGUGGUUCAAGACUUGAAGUAUGUGCUAAGAAGUAUUUUGAAAAGAAGUUUAAAGGAACUACACGAAGAAGAGUGUUAAUAGACAAAGACCAGAACUCAAGAGGUUUUAUAGCUAAGGACGCAUAGUUUAUAUUUUGUUUGUAGUCUUCUGUGUUUAUAGCAUUUUAUGUUGACAAGAUUGCUAAUGAUUUAUAUGUAUUCUUUUGUGUCAUUAUGGACACCUGUUUCCUUGUAUUUGUUAUAAGUAUUUUCUAAUGAAUAUCUAGAGGUAUUUAAUUUAAAAAGCUCUAAUGUGUUAUUUAAUCCAAGCCUGUUGGACAAAAAUAUAUUCCGCUGCGAGAGUUUAUCUCUGAUGUAGUAACGUCACGUGGGAACCGGAGGUUUCUGCUUACGAAUUUGCUGGUUCAAAUUUGGGGCGUUACACCAUACAAUAUGACUCUCAGUGAUGAGUCAGAAGAAGAAGCUCCAGAGUCUGAAAAAUUUCUGGCCUUUGUUGCCUCACAUGUUGAAGAAGAAGACUCGUAU